CGCAGCGAGCCGCCUCUAGCCUGGGGCGGAACCAGUGAGGGCCUCUGCGGCAACUCCGGACCCCGGCCGGAUUCCUCCCCACCAACUGGACCCUGCCUCCGGAGAUGAUACCAGAUCCCAAAUGAAGGAGCCAGAAAGUCUCCUGCCCUCGACCUGAAGAUGUGGGGUCUUAGGCCAGUGCAGCCAUCCCAGAAAAUCAGGAGAUGUUAACUGGUAAUUCCAGAACAAAGACUUCCUGUGAUUCUUGGGAACACAGUCCUCUACCAUCCGUCCGCCUGCCAUACCCUAACCGUGGAGAGUUCUGCUGCCUGUCAGUACAUUAAGGCUCAGAAAAGCCCCAAGGGAGAGAAACCUGUUUCAUCCUGUUUAAUGGCUCAAUAAACAAGGUUAUUUGCACAGAAGGAGCCUUGUCUUUACCCUCGCUGCAAAUGCUUUCACCCAACACAUACAGAUUUUCUCAUAAUUCCAGACUGGAAAACUCUGGAAAAGAACAUAGAUCUAUAGGAUCACCCACUUCAUGCUCCUGGAGGGCCUGUACCAACUCAGUAAUCCCAUGGGCAGACUUUAAAGAUAAUCCAGUUAGAAGUGUAAUGUCCAUUCGUGUUGAAUUUCUCUCUCUCUCUCCCUCUCUCUCUCUCUCUCUCUCUUUUUCUUUAAUAAUCCAUUGUCUUUUAAAUGCUGGACUUUUCCGCUCUUCACCCUAAGGCCUCAGGCUUGGGCUUUGAUUCUCUCUGGGCUGGAACCACCAGAAGCCUUGGAUCAUCCUCUUGCCUUGCAGGGUAGGAGGAGGGGCUGGUUGUCCUCCACUCCUCCUUCCCUGGGGCAGCCCAGAUUCCGGGUCAGUAAGACCUUGGCCUGCCCCAGCCUUUUCCUCCUAAGGAGAGGGGCAAGGUGGCUGUCAGCUCUCCAGACCCAGAGCAGGGGUCAGGGCUGGCCUGGGAGGCCCAGAGCCUGUUGUGGACCUUCUCUAGCACACUGCCUCUCUCUGGGUGGUGGAAUAUAUCAAAGGAGGUCACUGGAGUUGUUGACCAGAUGGGGUUUGUGCAGUCAUAAACCCCCAGCUGGGGCACUGGGGGAAGAAAGACAGGGGAGGGAUGGUGCUGCCCCAAUCCUCCCUGAGCUCUGCAGUCCCCCACAUGGUGCAGAUCAGGCAAGGGUGUGGCCACAGGUUGGUUGCAAAACCAGGCCAGAGCACCAGUAGAGGGGCCUCCCUGGAGGAGGCAGCAUUGGAGGAUGGCAUGGAGAGUGACAGAUAUUACAGUCCCAAACUGGAAGGAAGCUUGGGGCCUGGCAAAACUGUGAAAGGAUAUAAGUUAGGAUCUGGAAGAAUGAAAAGUGGGAGCAAGGAGAGCACCUCUGUACAGGAAACCAGGUCUUGAGCUUUCUCAAGGCCCAGGCACAACCCCACUGUCUGGGAAGAAAGUCAGAUAACCCAGCACUCACCCAGGAUCCCAGACACGGCUGAGGAAAAUCCACUUUAUCUUCACCCAAACCCUAAUAUCUCAGAAAUGGGGUGUGGUGGCAUUAAGCUAGGGCAGCUGCUUCUACUCUAAAAACGGUUCACUGAAAAUCCCUGGCAAUGGGGUGUUGAGAGCAUAAGCGUAUCAAGCUUACGGCCCUGACAGAUGGAUACAAGCAAGGAUCGAUUUUAAUGUUCGAGUUAGCGGUGUUUUUUCUUCCCACCUUUCAGGACCCCCCCCCCCCUUGCCAUAUCAGGGGAUGUGUACUUUAACAGAAACCCUGUGGGAGAGCAAGGAUUGACCUAGCGGGCCCAAUGUCCGAUGGUGGCAUUUCAGGUGCUGUGACAGAGGUCUUUGGGCUUGGAAUCUUCCCCAUACCCCUGUUAUCACACCACAGCCCUUAGGCACAUGCCCACCCCACGGCCAAUCCUGUUUGCUGAGAUAUCUCUGCUCCCUUUCGGGAGUGAGAGGAGCGGGGGGCCACCGUCAGAGGGCCUCGCUGGCCCAGCCGGUCCCACAUGGCCGGGCAUGUGCGGUUCAGUGGCCGGCUGAGGCCUAAGCAGAGGGGACAGCAGUGCCUUUCCUGAGACAAGUGGGAAGAAGGUAUCAGCCAUGGCUGACCGAGCGGUGACCCAAGGCCCAACACAGAGCCAAUUAGCGGCCACCACGAUGGCGGUGGGCUUGCCGCAGCUUCCACGGGAAGCCCCACGUGCAACCGGCGUGUCAGGAUGAGUUAGCACCGGGAGGGCUGAGUGGAGUCCUGCUGGAGGCUGCCUGGAUGGGGGAACAUGGGUGAUAACACUUCCCCCUGGGCUCUGGGGAGCCGGGCACGUGAGCACGCAUGCCUCUGCCUGUGCCUGCGCCCAUGUGCAUGGUUGUGAGUGCUCAUGCGCACAUUCACAAUUGAGGACUUGUGUGUCUGUGUGCCUGCCUGCUCAUGUUCGUUCAGCACGUUUCGUUCAUUUAACGUACUUUGUGUGUCCACUUCAUGCCGACUUUGUGUGCACUUGGGCAUUCUGAGACUAAACGGGCCAAAGUCUCUGCCCUCAUGGGGCUUCCAUUCUAGUGGGAGAGACAAAAAAGAAACAAACAUCUAUGUGGAAGCACAGUAGUAAGUGCCACGGGGAAAGGUAAAACAGGAAAUGGGGUAGGGGAGUUAUUUGAGAGUGUGAUCAGGGAGGACCCCUCUGAAGACGUGACCUUCACCUAAAUGAUGGCAGCCUGUUGAAUAUCAGGAGGAGGAUGGCUGUAGACAGAUGGCGGGCAUCGGGGACAGAGCAAGGGGAGUUAGAAUUCUACCACGCUGCCGGUGUGCAUGGCGUGGACAGGAGGAAAAGGGGGAUUCCACAGCUGUGGAGACAUCUGAUGGUCCAGACAGUGGGACAGCCCUCUGGGUAAAAAUCUAUUUGCCCAGCUCAGCUCUAAGGGGUAAUUCUGACCCUCCCCCAAAUCCAGUCCCAGGGUCGAGCACACAGAGACCUCUCUACUUGUGCGGGUCCCGACUGUCCCCAGGCACAGUCCCCUCAGCUCUGCCAAUCCAAUUGUGCCCAUAUAGUGCCAGCCACAGGAAGCCAUUGCCCAGGAAGAGAAAACAGGACCCUCCCAGCCCUAAAACCAGAGCCUGAAACUGGUCUCAUCCUAGUAGCCAGAGGCAACUGGCGUGAUGUGUAGGACCUGCUGGCAGGUCGGUGUGAUGUGAUGGCUGAGAGGCUGGAGGGGAACACUGGGGAUCCAGCCCAGGCUCCCCUUCGGAGGUCUGGCAUUGUGUAGCAACCAGGGUGGAAAAGAGGGAAGCUGGUGGCCUCUCCAGCCCUUGCUGUCUUGCCCAAUCCCUCUUCACAAACAAGGCAGGAUCCAGCUCCCAGCAAAGAGGCCAAGAGCCAGCUUCAGACCUUGCCUUCUAUUGUCUAAACCCCACAGCCCUGGAACAGAGAGCCUCAUUAGCUCAGGAGGGGAAGCUGAGCUGUGCCCUGCUCAGGAGACCUCCAGGAAAGGGCAGGUGAAAGGAAAGGGAGGUGGUUGGGUGGGAAACACUGUUAUUGCCUUGCCAAACCAGCCAAAGCCUUCCUGCCACCGUGGAAGAUUGACUUGGGUUUCCCAGGAUGAUGUCAGGCAUGGAUCCUGUGUCCAUGUGUCUCACUGGGAGCUGUGUCUGUGGGUCUACUUGUGCAUGUGUGCUUUUGAUAUCUAGGUCAGUCUGGUACCUUUCUGAUUGUUCACGUGUCUGUGAGUGAGUCCCAUGUGCCUAUAUGUCUGCCUGUGGGCCCCUCUGUGGCCCCUGAACAUGCAGGCUGUGUGGGGGCCUCUAUGUGUACAUGCCUUUCUGGGCAUGAGUGGGCGAGUUGUCUUGAGGUUUGUCACCUGUCAGCCUCUGAGGUCUGUACCACCCUGUUCCUUAGCCUGGCCCUAAGGCUCUGGGGAGAAGCUGCCUGCUCCACUCUUGUCAAGGCUGUAGACAGGGUGGCAAGGAGACUUGGUUCUUGGAGAUGUGAUUCUGCUGCUGUUGGCUGGCAGAGAUUUGCACUUAGCUUUGCCUACAUGUUGCCACCCACCCCACCCCCACUCCUGCUGCCACAGCUAGCCAGACCAGUGGCAUGCUGAUUCUGGCCUCUUACUGGCCUCUGGCUAUGGCUUCAGGCUCUCAUCACUGUUGCUGCCCAUGCUGAAGGAGUAUGGAGGCUGGGGAUGAGGAAAGGCAGGCAGGCUGGCUGGGACAGCAGUUCAUCCGGUAUGUUGGGCUCAGAUUUCAGAUUUGGGAGGAAAUUAAGAGGUAGUCUGGCCCUCUUCCCCAAUUUAACCGGUUUUGUCAGCUACAGUUGUGGUUCCGUGUGAGGGUGAGCCUGCUCCCUUCUAACCCGGCCCCUUUAGGACUCUCCCAAGGGUGGGCACCCCUCCCUGAAAAUCUGACACGCAGAAGUGAGGGAAAGGGGCUCCUAGUGGCAACCAGUGCAUCGCUUCUGAGCACCUCUACGUGCCUGCCAGGGCUUGAACCAGGCUGCAGGUGGACAGACGUGGGUCUCACAGACUGGCUGGGCAGGCAAGGCGUCACCUCCUAGAAAGUUCACUCAGAAGCUCAGAAGUCACAGGGAGGCAGCAGAUGAGACUGAUGAGGACUGUGGACUCAGUUUAAACAGGAGGUCAGAGAAGAAAGGGGUUAGAGUGGCCUAGAACUCUCAGCAAGGCUUUUGUGGAGGAGGGAUGCUGCCUGGGUCUUGAAAGACUGGUAGGAACUGACUGGACAGGCAGAGAGAAGGGGCAGGAAGAGCACUGUGAAGUAAGAAGGGUGAGUAGGAGAGUCUUUGCAGGGCAGGGGUCAGGAUGAGUGGGAUUCUUUAGGGUUCUAGAGCCAUGGCUCAAAAUGUCUCAUGUGGGGGUUGGGAGUAGGGCUAGGAAAGCUCCAGAGAGCUGUCCUUGGCUGAGUAGGGAUGAGAGGAGGAUGAAGAAAGGCAGGCUGGGUAGGGCAGCUGAGAGGAGGAGGUGGGUAUGAGUGCUCAGGACUCUUGUGACCCCACCAUCUCCUGUGCUCUCCUUUCCCCUAGGAUAGAAGUUCCCAUCCAGCUGCCCUGAGGAAACCCUGUGCAAACAGGAGACUUGCUGCCACCCAGGUCCCAGCCAGAGAGUCUGAUUCCAUCAGUCUGAGGUCAUUACAUUGUGUGACCAGGACCAAGAACCAUUUGACUCAGUGUUGGACAAGGAGGGGGAAGGGUCAGUCCAGCUGGCCGUGGGAUGGAAAGGGCCCAAACUUGGGGUCAGCACUAUUGAGCCCUGGGAACCUCUUCCCCUGGGACACUUAGAAUUCUGGAGUUGCAAGAAACAGAAACUCAGUGGUGCCUCACAGAACCAAGGAUAAGAAGGUAGCUGGGAAGGGAAGGGCCUGGAACUAGGAUCUGGAAGGCCCAGGCCAUGCUCCACUGACUGUACUCUAAGAACACAUCAGCCUGGGCCUUCUCAUGGCGGCCUGGCUUCCUUUGUUGUCAUCCACAUGAUAGGCCUGCAAGUUGACCCCUUAAUGGCCAAGUGCCACACACCACACACAGGCUGGUCCUGCUUUCUCUCAGGCACCUUUCCAGUUCUGGGAGAUAAUGAUGAGUUUGGCUAGCUUAGGUAAAGAGGAUCAGGGGCGCCUGGGUGGCUUGGUCGGUUGAGCGUCCGACUUUGGCUCAGGUCAUGAUCUCACGGUCCGUGGGUUCGAGCCCCGCAUCAGGCUCUGUGCUGACCGCUCAGAGCCUGCAGCCUGUUUCGGAUUCUGUGUCUCCCUCUCUCUCUGCCCCUCCCCUGUUCAUGCUCUGUCUCUCUCUGUCUCAAAAAUAAAUAAAAACGUUGAAGAAGAAGAAAAAAAUUAAAAAAAAAAGAGGAUCAGUUUGGCUAGCUUGGGUCAAGGCUCUACCUCUCCAGGGGUGCAGUAUCACCCAGCAGAAAUAUGGCUGUAGGUGGGAUAGAUUUGCCCACCAGAAGCCCCUCUUCAUGCUAGGCCCCAUGCCAGGUGCUGGGGUAUAGAAAUGAGCACAUAUAGAAACGAGCAAGGCUGGAGUCUGCAUCUGAGGCAAGAAAGCACGGAAAGAGAAGAAACCUCUCCUCUCUCUCUCUCUUUCUCUCUCUCUUGUCUGUGUGAGCAGAGAGGGGGCAUGCCGAGGCAAGGAGGGCUCCCCAGAGGGGCUUUACGUUUACAGGUUGUUGGAUUUGAAUUGCAUCACACCUCCACCUCCUCUUCCUGCUUCUCCUGCCUGCCCCCGCCCCCCAUGGCUGAUAACAGAGAGUUUUGUUUUGUUUUGAAAAGCAGGGCACCGUUGCUGCCCUAAACAAAAUAGGGGUUCUGGCAGGAGAGGACAAGGCAAGGAGGAGGUCUGGCAGUAGCCUGCUCAGCCUACAUGUGGCCAUUCCCCUUUAUUGUAAGCACCUGACUCAGACCACCGCAGGGCCACGAGGGAGGUGAUGAAAAGUUUGUCAAAGUGGAGGAAGAGUGUCACAUAUGAGACUGGCUGGAAGGAGAGGCCGUGCGGGAGUGUGUGCAUGUGAAGCAUCUGAAGAAUGGGUAUUCUGAGGCCAAGUAUCCUGGGGAAAGGCGUCCGUGUGUGCCUAAGAACAAGCCUCAGGCCCAGACCACUUCCUCACCAAGAGACAAAAAGCUCACAGAGCUAUGCUGGGCUUAUCACCUCUUGUGAGAAUGUCUUUCCCUGUUUCAGACUGGAUGUGUGCCUCUUUGUUCUGCCCAAGCGGUGUGUCAAUAGCCCUUGGGCACACCCCCAGCCUUCCAUAUUUCAAAGUCCAGGGAGGAGUUGGGGCCUUCUGCUGUGGUAGGAGAUGGCUGCACGGAAGUCAAAUGCCCUGCCGGCUGCGUCCGUUGUUGGGGGCACCCGCUGGCCAUGAGGGACAGAUGCUCACUGCUGAAACUGAUCUUCUCUUUUCUAUGUGAGUAAAGUGUUGUUCCAUCCAGUGCUUGACUGUGAUGUUUUCUUUGGUGAGUCCAACACCAAGAUGCAGUGGGCAGUGUUUGGAUUUCUGGUCCUGGUGGCUCGCAUUGUGAUGGCCUUGGCUACCCUCCUUGUAGUUGGAGUCCUCCCUUGGCACUGGUUCCUGCUGCACGGCGCUCUGCUCGACAGUAUCUCAGUGGUUAAGCAUGUGGGUAGCUCAUGCCCGGAAGACUAGGGACUGGUCGCAUCCCAGUUUGCCUGUGACUUUCCUGGUUAGCGCUGAAAUCCCCUGUGCUGAGUAUAUCAGCAUGGUUGGUCGCCCAGUAGAGUGGGCUGGGGCUUACCAGCAGAGUGAACUUGAUCAAUUUGCUAACUUCUCUGUGCCUCAGAUUCCUUACCUGUAAAAUGGGUAUAAAAAUAAUACCUACUUUAUAGAAUUUUUGUGGGGGUUAAACAAGAGAGUUUGUGUAAAGGACAUAGCUCAGUGCCUAGCACAAAGAUAUGUUCAACAAACAUUAGCCAUUAAUAACAAUAUUAUAUUAGAUAUAGACUUUUUCUGGGUGGUCCCAAGGGAGAAAACUGGACCAAUCUGCCCAGUAGAAGGAAAAAUUUCCUUAUAGACUGGGGAUAGUGAUUUGCUAAGGUGUUCAAAUAUAGGCUAAUGUUAGGCCUGCUUUGUGAAGUGGAUGGUAGAACUAGCCAUCUCCUGGUCCUGAAAAACCUUAGUCUUGUGAUAUAUUCAUUUCAUCCUUUUCCUUCCCCCCUUCCCCCCCCCCCCCCCAAGGAGGGGAGCUAGCUUGUCAGAGAGAGCAGUUUCUUUUCUUCUAAUCAGCAAUUCCUGGUCUGGUAGGCCACUCAGAGCUGCUUGAAUAAAGAUGGGGAGACAUUCCAGCCAUGAUUCCAAUAAUCUGUGUUAUGCUAAAGACAGACACAAACUAAUAGCUCUCUGCUGUCCUGGCCGAUGGGGCUGCCUCCUUCCUUGGAGAGGAGCUCCCAGCCCUGGUUGGGCUUCCGUUAGCUGGCUGCUUCCCCACAACCCUGCUCAGGGGCUCUGCUGUGUGUGUGUGUGUGUGUGUGUGUGUGUGUGUGUGUGUGUGAGAGGGAGACACACACACACACACACACACACACACACACACACACACACACACAGAGCCAGGGAGAGACAAGAGAGAGAGGUCAGCAAGGGUCUCAUGUGAUCUGUAUGAAGUCCCAGACUGCUUCCCUUCCCCCACCUUAUUCUUUCCUGUUAUUCCCCAGCCUCACCCCCUCACCCUCACCUCCCACGUGGUCCUCUCAGGCCUAGUAGCUUAAUGAAAGGCAAUUAAUAGAGCCCUUUGAGGACUUGUCAUUAGAAGGCCCUUUAAUUCAGCCACUUGAGUUGGGGCCCCAGGCAUGUGAGAGGGGUGCCAGGAACACCAGGGCAGCUGUUUGGGGUGGGGGAGGCAGAGCAGAGAAACAGGGUCAGGAGGCCUAGAAUCCUGGGACGUAUAGAUUAUGUGAACAUAGCAGGGGUCAUUGUUUUUCAUUGUUUGUGGUUUGUUUCUUAACCAAAUUUUGCUCUGGCUAAGCUGCAGCAGAACAAAGACCAGAGGGGUGAGAUGUCAAACAAUAAAGCUGCUGAUUACACAGACCAUCCUAGGAAAAAUUUCCCCUAGGACAUGGGCAUCUUGGAGAGGGGAUAUCAUUCAGUGACAUUGUAUGUGUGAGGGUACAGUGGGGGGCAUAACUGUGCUUCCUUUGGGGCUGGGGUGCUGACAGGGAAAGGGGCAGGAAGGAGCUCCACAGGGGGAGAAGAAGAUCAGAAAGGAAGAGGGGCUUGGGUCUCCAGGCCUGCCACCAUCUGUCUCUGACUUCACUGUGUCUCUCACACAACCAGGCCAGGCCAGGCAGGGGCAGCAGAGGCCCAGAUGCCGAUGUGGACUUUGUCUCCAUCUGUGUGUAGUGUGUGUGUGUGUGUGUGUGUGUGUGUGUGUGUGUGUGUGUGUGUUCUCCUGGCGUGCCCUCCUGGCCCACACUUAACACUGGUGAUAAGGCUUCCCACGGUCUCUCAAAACUCCUUCAAUAGACUUUGAACUAGCCGUCUUUGGUCCUCUGCAGCUCCUCUGGCUGCCACUAGAGGGCAGCAGUCAAGACGCAGAACUGAAGCUGCACACUGCUGCCCUCCCCAGCCUUUUCCUUCCGAAUCGUCCUGCUCUUCCCAGCCCCUGGGGAUGUGCCCGCCCCAGCUGUGUGGGCCAGUGGGACCACAGAACCAGCUAAGUUCCCAUCCCUGGCCUGGGGCUCAGGGAAGGUGUAAGGCUGUGAGAGUGUCAGAGUGAAGAUGCAGGAAGGGAUGGGAAGUGACCGGAACCUGGAGGUGUGUUCAUCAGCUCCCAUAAGGAUAAAGGUAGAGGGAAAAGAGGAAGACCCAGAGGUCCAGCAGGCUGCAGGGAGAUAAAGCAGGAUCCAGCCCACUAGCCAAAUGGCAGAUGGUGACAAGACAGGCAGAAUCACUCUCACAACAAAGCAAGUGACUUUUAAGAGACCAGAAAAAACAGUGGCUCUGGAGCCAGACUGCCCAGAUUCAAACCCCGCCUCUCCUAAGUACUAGCUGUGUGACCAUACACAAGGUGUCUAUGACUCAGGUUUCUUCUCUGUGGAAAGGACAUAAUAGAUGUGCUAGAGGUGAACAUUAAAUGGGUUUAUACAUACAAAUCAUUUAGAACAGUGCCUGGCACAGAGUAAGAACACUAUAAAUGCUAGCAGUUAAGUGUUUUGAGGAAGAGAUCCAUAUGAUGUUGAAAGCUAAUGUCCCCUAGAACAUCCUCAUGACAUGUAUGGAAAUUGGUCCCCACACACGCCAGCAUUAAAUGGUAACACAUGAGUGUGUGAACUAGUAAAAGUUAAAGGAUUGUGUGUAACAUUGGAAUAAGUGUAUAUACUUAUUGUCAAUAUGUAAAUCAACCAACUUCUGAAUCUACAGACCCUUUCACUCUUGAGUCCCUUGAACUGAAGGUGGGAAGCCCUCCUGCUUCCUCCCAACCCUCCUUCAAGGGAGGCUGGGUUUGCUCUCCCCUGUGACCUCCUGCCUACUAAGCAUCGUUCCUGAAGAGC
Long non-coding RNA from Acinonyx jubatus (cheetah), 9967 nucleotides. RefSeq lists it as uncharacterized. NCBI's taxonomy places the organism in Eukaryota, Metazoa, Chordata, Mammalia, Carnivora, Felidae. The record is from RefSeq and is a predicted model, not a curated record. The transcript has 3 exons.